CACGCUCAGGAGCCUGAUGUUGUUGUGUCGCCCCCUACAGGACUGCAGCAUCUCUACAUGUGGACUGAAGCCACCUGCACCACCUGAAGCACAGCAAAAUGUUGCAGAAAUCACAACGGGAGACGUUAUGUUUCGAUCCUGGACGAUCCCACCCGGUCCGUGUUUCUGGAAAUUAAUCCACACUGCAUCUUCAGAUGUUAUCUGGCUGUAAUGCUUCCACACUAAUGAAGUGCUUUUGCACGGAUUAAAGCUGCGAUCUGCACAUCCAUCCUGACGUGUUUCCACCUUCAUCUCAUGCCUGCGCUGUGAGGUCACGGCGAACCCCACCCCGGAGCGUCUGAACCGACACGUCAUCCAUUAGAGCUCAAUCACGACGGCCGGAUCUAAAUCAAUUAGAUAUGAAGCCCAGAGGUCACGGGGGUCAGCGCUGGGACGAGGCGUUCAUUAUGAGCGCAGCAUAUCUGAUUUAAUACACCGCUGGAACGGGAAGCCGCUCGGGAGAACUGCGGAUAUUAAAGGUCAAAUGUCAUCCAGCAUGUGGGCCUAAGAUAAAGUUACUGUGAAAUACUCCGGGAAAGAUGGAAAAUGUUCCCUUUAUAUACAGAGAAAGACAUCAGGCAUGUUCAGAAUCCAGUGCUGCCCGUGAUAUCCCACAAUCCUAUGCGUGCCAUUUUUAGAUAAGUAUUUGUGUCAAAAGUUUGGAAUACUUACGAUUUUUGGCUGCAUUUAUUUGAUAACAGUAAUAUUGCCAAAUACUAUUACAAUUUAAAAUAACUGUUUUCUAUGUGAAUCUCUGUUAAAGUGUAAUGUAUUUCUGUGAUGCAAAGCUGUAUUGUCAGCAUCAUUACUCCAGUCUUCAGUUUCACAUGAUCUUCAGAAAUCAUUCUAAUAUGAUGAUUUUUUGUAGUAAUAUUUUCAUUAAAUAUUUUUUGUUGUAUUUUUAGCAAAUUAUUGCAGCUUUGAAGAGCUUAAAAGACUUAAAAUGCUAUAGAAAUAUCGUUCUUACAGUAGUUUGUUAACAGGGUUAUUAUAAAUUACAGCUAAACUAAAACUAAAUCUAUUAAAAAUCUUAUUUUAAUGUUGAAAUAAAGCUGAAUAUGUGUGUGUGUGUGUGUGUGUG
This is a long non-coding RNA of Cyprinus carpio (common carp), 1120 nucleotides long. NCBI's taxonomy places the organism in Eukaryota, Metazoa, Chordata, Actinopteri, Cypriniformes, Cyprinidae. The record is from Ensembl.